AUUGAACGCUGGCGGCAGGCCUAACACAUGCAAGUCGAGCGGGGUUUUCGGACCUAGCGGCGGACGGGUGAGUAAUGCGUAGGAAGCUACCCGACAGAGGGGGAUACCAGUUGGAAACGACUGUUAAUACCGCAUAAUGUCUACGGACCAAAGUGUGGGACCUUCGGGCCACAUGCUGUCGGAUGUGCCUACGUGGGAUUAGCUAGUUGGUGAGGUAAUGGCUCACCAAGGCGACGAUCCCUAGCUGGUUUGAGAGGAUGAUCAGCCACACUGGAACUGAGACACGGUCCAGACUCCUACGGGAGGCAGCAGUGGGGAAUAUUGGACAAUGGGCGCAAGCCUGAACCAGCCAUGCCGCGUGCAGGAAGACGGUCCUAUGGAUUGUAAACUGCUUUUAUACAGGAAGAAACCCUCCCACGUGUGGGAGCUUGACGGUACUGUAGGAAUAAGGAUCGGCUAACUCCGUGCCAGCAGCCGCGGUAAUGUGACU
RNAcentral lists this ribosomal RNA (490 nucleotides) under uncultured bacterium. Its description in RNAcentral is "bacterial SSU rRNA". It matches the Rfam family "Bacterial small subunit ribosomal RNA", at positions 30 to 530 of the family's 1533-position model. The record is from RNAcentral.